Molecule: long non-coding RNA, 1489 nt
Organism: Poecile atricapillus (Black-capped chickadee)
Lineage: Eukaryota; Metazoa; Chordata; Aves; Passeriformes; Paridae
Exons: 2
Source: RefSeq, a predicted model, not a curated record
GGGCGGGGCCGGCCGCAAUGGCUGACGGGAGGUCCCCGACAUGGCGGGGGCUGCGGCGUGGCCGCGAACUGCGGGGCUGAAAGGGCGGCGUUCCGCCAGCUGGGGCAGCAGCUCCGUGCAGCUGCAGGGAGAUGUGGCGCUGCACUGCAGGUGCAGGAUCAAGUCCAGGGAUGUUGUGGAUUCUGGUGACCAACAUGUGACUCAACAAGAUGGGCUUCUGCUUGGUUAAGCUCAGGAAACAAUUUUAUUCAACACAGGAACAAACUCGGCUUAAAUCCGGAGAUAGAAAGCCCAGAACAGAAGCACGGUGGGGGUUUUAUGGGGCAGGGCCAGGGUGGAGUUUAAGAUCGGGAACUAACAAGGACACGGCAAGGGAGAAACCCCCGGGGCACGGAACUGAUCAGAGCACCCUGGGCUGACACCCCACGAGGGUCCGGGGAGGGACGACUCUUCCUGGGCUCACCGGGCACAUCCCCCGAGGCAGAGGGAUGGAAGUUACUCUUCCUGGGCUUUAAAGCCACGCCUCUCAUUUUAACAAUGCUUCUCUGAAACUAAAUCUUUGCUUCCCUGGGCGGGGGGCAGCUCACACUCCUUGCCUCUUUUUUCCACCUUUUCAAUAUUUUGUUCAGGCUCUUGCUCAGUCCCUGUCUCCCCCCUCACUCUGCUCGUGGGAAAGACUCUGUCCUCAGCCCGGGCUCCAUGUGUAUCGUUCCGGUCAUGGGUGGUGUAAUAAAUGGAAUUGAUUCGUGCUAACUAAAUUGUAACUGUUAUUAAAGAUAUUAUUAGAAGCCAUCAAAAGAAUCAGUGUUACAAGGCAGAUGUACUCCUUUACAGAUGUUACAUGUCAAAAUCGAGGUGCAGGAUGUAGUUUGGAAGAUAAGUGACGUCCCAAGAUCAAAACGGCCUUGCGAUGGACAAAAUUAGAACAACUUUAGGCAUUGGGCCUAAAAAUCAGUAAAUAUAAGACUAAUUAGUAGACUAACAUAACACAAUGCUUAGUACGCACGUGCAAACCUGUAAGGUUAUCCAAAGGACAACGAGGAAGAGGAGAAGCCUUUGCCAAAAGACCACCAAAAGAAGACUGAAGACCCCCUACCAACAAGUGAGGCAUGCGCUGUGAAGAAAAGUGAUGUAAAGUCAGAAAAAUCGGAAAGAGGAGGAAACUUACAGAAAACAUUAAUGAAUAUGUAUAAGCAUACAGUAUAUAAGUUUAGCUUGAAGUGCUUUGUUUUGUAUGUGAGGCAGGGUGGGAAGCCUCUGUACCCUGGUCGGUUUUGUACAUGAGGUGGGGUAACAAGCCCUCCUCGUAUCCCAGUCGGUUUUGCUUAUGCUUUAAUCAUACUUAAUUACUGGCAAAUUAUAUAUAUAUAAAUUGUAUUUUUUUUAUUAAAUUGUAUUAUUUUACUAAACUGUAUUCUUGUGUACCAAAUUACUAUACAAUUUACUAAACUGUAUUCAUUUUUAAUUAAACUGCCAUUAACAUAAGGGA